Molecule: ribosomal RNA, 412 nt
Filed under: Bacillus cereus
Lineage: Bacteria; Bacillati; Bacillota; Bacilli; Caryophanales; Bacillaceae
Description: bacterial SSU rRNA
Rfam family: Bacterial small subunit ribosomal RNA
Source: RNAcentral
UUUAUUGGAGAGUUUGAUCCUGGCUCAGGAUGAACGCUGGCGGCGUGCCUAAUACAUGCAAGUCGAGCGAAUGGAUUAAGAGCUUGCUCUUAUGAAGUUAGCGGCGGACGGGUGAGUAACACGUGGGUAACCUGCCCAUAAGACUGGGAUAACUCCGGGAAACCGGGGCUAAUACCGGAUAAUAUUUUGAACUGCAUGGUUCAAAAUUGAAAGGCGGCUUCGGCUGUCACUUAUGGAUGGACCCGCGUCGCAUUAGCUAGUUGGUGAGGUAACGGCUCACCAAGGCAACGAUGAGUAGCCGACCUGACAGGGUAAUCGGCCACACUGGGACUGAGACACGGCCCAGACUCCUAAGGGAGGCAGCAGGAGGGAAUCUUCCGGAAUGGACGAAAGUCUGACGGAGCAACGACGC